This 496-nucleotide ribosomal RNA is filed under the name uncultured bacterium. RNAcentral describes it as "partial 16S ribosomal RNA". It matches the Rfam family "Bacterial small subunit ribosomal RNA", at positions 30 to 523 of the family's 1533-position model. The record is from RNAcentral.
UUGAACGCUGGCGGCAGGCCUAACACAUGCAAGUCGAGCGCGAAAGUUCUUCGGAAUGAGUAAAGCGGCGGACGGGUGAGUAACGCGUGGGAAUCUGCCUGGUAGUGGGGGACAACGUUCGGAAACGAACGCUAAUACCGCAUACGCCCUACGGGGGAAAGGGGGGGAUCUUCGGACCUCUCGCUAUCAGAUGAGCCCGCGUCGGAUUAGCUAGUUGGUGGGGGAAAGGCCUACCAAGGCGACGAUCCGUAACUGGUCUGAGAGGAUGAUCAGUCACGCUGAAGCUGAGAAUCGGUCCAGACUCCUACAGGAGGCAGAAGUGGGGAAUAUUGGAGAAUGGGGGAAACCCUGAUCCAGCCAUUCCGCGUGUGUGAAGACGGCCUUAGGGUUGUAAAGCACUUUCAGUGGGGAGAAAGGUUGUUUACUUAAUACGUAAGCAAAUUGAUGUUACCCACAGAAGAAGCACCGGCUAACUCCGUGCCAGCAGCCGCGGUAA